Molecule: non-coding RNA, 764 nt
Organism: Delphinapterus leucas (beluga whale)
Lineage: Eukaryota; Metazoa; Chordata; Mammalia; Artiodactyla; Monodontidae
Source: RefSeq, a predicted model, not a curated record
GAUAAUAAUUCCCAUGCUCGCCUGGAUCGGGCUUGAGGAAGUUGAGGGGCCAUUAUGCGGCUGAGUCAUAGCUGCGCGGGGCAGGGCCGGACCUCGAGGGGUCUCCUCCCUUUGCCCCCAAAGUCAGCGGGGAACAGCCGCUGCCCGGCAGGAGCCUGGCCCUGGUGGGUGAAGUCAUGAACCCCGGAAACUCCGACCAAAGAGCAUCGGCAAGAACAGAGCUGGUCCCCACAAACCUCCCAGCAUCCAGGGGAGGGUCACACAGCGGCUCUGGAAGGAUUCCUGCGAGUUCCUCUGGUUCACACCCCACUCUUUGACCCUCUCCUCUUCUGGUUGGACAGUAGUUAAAGCCUCACGUCGAGGAGACAAAGCAGAAGCUGGAGCAUGAGUUCUGCUUAAGUUACUUUGGUAACUAAAGAGUACCAGAAAUCUCAAGACUCAAUACCAAGGCUGAAGAAGCAAGUUUGAAAAUGGACCAAAAGCAAUGGAAGCCAAACACUUUACCACAGGAUUGUGUCCCCUAAAAGAAGAGAAAGAAAUCGGCUGAGCCAGGAAUAGCUUUCUGCCUGGAGGCAUUUUCCAGCGGGAGCUCAAGCACAGGAGACCAAGCAGAGGGAGCUGUCGUCCUGAACUGAGGAAAGAGAGGUCAGUGGCUGUUCCGGUGGCUGAAGCAUCUAGGCAGCUGCACAGGAAGAAAGCUCUAGAAAUCAUCAUGAGGAUAUUUAAAUGUAUGCUGUGCUUGCAACACUGAGGCCACGCUAGAA